This 1008-nucleotide ribosomal RNA is filed under the name Escherichia coli. Its description in RNAcentral is "partial 23S ribosomal RNA". It matches the Rfam family "Bacterial large subunit ribosomal RNA", at positions 1920 to 2925 of the family's 2925-position model. Lineage: Bacteria; Pseudomonadati; Pseudomonadota; Gammaproteobacteria; Enterobacterales; Enterobacteriaceae. The record is from RNAcentral.
CCGGUAAACGGCGGCCGUAACUAUAACGGUCCUAAGGUAGCGAAAUUCCUUGUCGGGUAAGUUCCGACCUGCACGAAUGGCGUAAUGAUGGCCAGGCUGUCUCCACCCGAGACUCAGUGAAAUUGAACUCGCUGUGAAGAUGCAGUGUACCCGCGGCAAGACGGAAAGACCCCGUGAACCUUUACUAUAGCUUGACACUGAACAUUGAGCCUUGAUGUGUAGGAUAGGUGGGAGGCUUAGAAGUGUGGACGCCAGUCUGCAUGGAGCCGACCUUGAAAUACCACCCUUUAAUGUUUGAUGUUCUAACGUUGACCCGUAAUCCGGGUUGCGGACAGUGUCUGGUGGGUAGUUUGACUGGGGCGGUCUCCUCCUAAAGAGUAACGGAGGAGCACGAAGGUUGGCUAAUCCUGGUCGGACAUCAGGAGGUUAGUGCAAUGGCAUAAGCCAGCUUGACUGCGAGCGUGACGGCGCGAGCAGGUGCGAAAGCAGGUCAUAGUGAUCCGGUGGUUCUGAAUGGAAGGGCCAUCGCUCAACGGAUAAAAGGUACUCCGGGGAUAACAGGCUGAUACCGCCCAAGAGUUCAUAUCGACGGCGGUGUUUGGCACCUCGAUGUCGGCUCAUCACAUCCUGGGGCUGAAGUAGGUCCCAAGGGUAUGGCUGUUCGCCAUUUAAAGUGGUACGCGAGCUGGGUUUAGAACGUCGUGAGACAGUUCGGUCCCUAUCUGCCGUGGGCGCUGGAGAACUGAGGGGGGCUGCUCCUAGUACGAGAGGACCGGAGUGGACGCAUCACUGGUGUUCGGGUUGUCAUGCCAAUGGCACUGCCCGGUAGCUAAAUGCGGAAGAGAUAAGUGCUGAAAGCAUCUAAGCACGAAACUUGCCCCGAGAUGAGUUCUCCCUGACUCCUUGAGAGUCCUGAAGGAACGUUGAAGACGACGACGUUGAUAGGCCGGGUGUGUAAGCGCAGCGAUGCGUUGAGCUAACCGGUACUAAUGAACCGUGAGGCUUAAC